ACGCUGGCGGCAGGCUUAACACAUGCAAGUCGAACGGUAACAGGGAUUAGCUUGCUAAUCUGCUGACGAGUGGCGGACGGGUGAGUAAUGCUUGGGAAUCUGGCUUAUGGAGGGGGAUAACUACGGGAAACUGUAGCUAAUACCGCGUAAAAUCUUCGGAUUAAAGGGUGGGACUUUCGAGCCACCUGCCAUAAGAUGAGCCCAAGUGGGAUUAGGUAGUUGGUUAGGUAAAGGCUGACCAAGCCGACGAUCUCUAGCUGGUCUGAGAGGAUGACCAGCCACACUGGAACUGAGACACGGUCCAGACUCCUACGGGAGGCAGCAGUGGGGAAUAUUGCACAAUGGGGGGAACCCUGAUGCAGCCAUGCCGCGUGAAUGAAGAAGGCCUUCGGGUUGUAAAGUUCUUUCGGUGACGAGGAAGGUUGAUAGGUUAAUAGCCUAUCAAAUUGACGUUAAUCACAGAAGAAGCACCGGCUAACUCCGUGCCAGCAGCCGCGGUAAUACGGGGGGUGCGAGCGUUAAUCGGAAUAACUGGGCGUAAAGGGCACGCAGGCGGUGACUUAAGUGAGAUGUGAAAGCCCCGAGCUUAACUUGGGAAUUGCAUUUCAUACUGGGUCGCUAGAGUACUUUAGGGAGGGGUAGAAUUCCACGUGUAGCGGAGAAAUGCGUAGAUAUGUGGAGGAAUACCGAAGGCGAAGGCAGCCCCUUGGGAAUGUACUGACGCUCAUGUGCGAAAGCGUGGGGAGCAAACAGGAUUAGAUACCCUGGUAGUCCACGCUGUAAACGAUGUCGAUUUGGGGAUUGGGCUUUGAGCUUGGUGCCCGUAGCUAACGUGAUAAAUCGACCGCCUGGGGAGUACGGCCGCAAGGUUAAAACUCAAAUGAAUUGACGGGGGCCCGCACAAGCGGUGGAGCAUGUGGUU
RNAcentral lists this ribosomal RNA (922 nucleotides) under uncultured bacterium. RNAcentral describes it as "bacterial SSU rRNA". It matches the Rfam family "Bacterial small subunit ribosomal RNA", at positions 33 to 946 of the family's 1533-position model. The record is from RNAcentral.